RNAcentral lists this ribosomal RNA (475 nucleotides) under Epidendrium sordidum. RNAcentral describes it as "partial 16S ribosomal RNA". It matches the Rfam family "Bacterial large subunit ribosomal RNA", at positions 1831 to 2597 of the family's 2925-position model. Lineage: Eukaryota; Metazoa; Mollusca; Gastropoda; Epitoniidae. The record is from RNAcentral.
GUCUUCUUGGAUUUAUAAGAAGUCGGGCCUGCCCGGUGAAAUUUUUAACGGCCGCGGUAUUUUGACCGUGCAAAGGUAGCAUAAUCAUUUGCUCUAUAAUUGAGGGCUUGUAUGAAUGGUUUGACGGAGUUUAACUGUCUCUAUUUAAUUUUGUAGAAUUUAACUUUUAGGUGAAGAGGCCUAAAUACAAUUAAAAGACGAGAAGACCCUAUCGAGCUUUUGAUAGUUUACAUAAAAUUAAUGAAAAUAAUCUUUAAUUGGGGCAAUUAAGGAACAAAAAAAGCUUCCUUAUAUUUAUAUAACCGACGGCUGAUCCAUUAAUAAUGAUCUAAGGAAAAAGUUACCGUAGGGAUAACAGCGUUAUUUUUCUAGAGAGUUCUUAUUAAAAGAAAAGUUUGCGACCUCGAUGUUGGACUAAAGUUUCCUAAAGAUGCAGAAGUCUUUAAGGGUUGGUCUGUUCGACCAUUAAAACUUU